This 429-nucleotide ribosomal RNA is filed under the name Chloroflexota bacterium. RNAcentral's name for it is "Chloroflexi bacterium partial 16S ribosomal RNA". It matches the Rfam family "Bacterial small subunit ribosomal RNA", at positions 355 to 776 of the family's 1533-position model. The record is from RNAcentral. Lineage: Bacteria; Bacillati; Chloroflexota.
UGGGGAAUAUUGCACAAUGGGCGCAAGCCUGAUGCAGCCAUGCCGCGUGUGUGAAGAAGGCCUUCGGGUUGUAAAGCACUUUCAGCGGGGAGGAAGGCGAUAAGGUUAAUAACCUUGUCGAUUGACGUUACCCGCAGAAGACGCACCGGCUAACUCCGUGCCAGCAGCCGCGGUAAUACGGAGGGUGCAAGCGUUAAUCGGAAUUACUGGGCGAAAAGCGCCCGCAGGCGGUUUGUUAAGUCAGAUGUGAAAUCCUCGGGCUCAGCCUGGGGGGUGGAUCUGAUAAUGGCAAGCUUGAGUCUCGUAGAGGGGGGUAGAAUUCCAGGUGGAGCGGUGAAAUGCGUAGAGGUCUGGGGGAAUACCGGUGGCGAAGGCGGCCCCCUGGACAAAGACUGACGCUCAGGUGCGAAAGCGUGGGGAGCAAACAGG